AGUCGGCCGAACGACCGCGGGCAUAAGGCGAAAGCCUGUGCGUGAGGAAAGUCCGGGCUCCAUAGGGCAAGGAUAACGGGUAACGCCCGCCAGGGGUGACCCUCGGACAAGUGCAACAGAGAGAUACCGCCCCGGCUUGCCGGGGUAAGGGUGGAAAGGCGAGGUAAGAGCUCACCCGCCGCGUGGAGACACGUUGGCGCUGUAAACUCUAUCCGGAGCAACACCGUGGGAGGGACAUAUGGCCGGCCCGGCCGUCCCCGGGAGGUGGCUUGAGCCAGGGAGCAAUUCCUGGCCACAGAUAGAUGGUCGUUCUCGACAGAACCCGGCUUACAGGCCGACUCAU
This 343-nucleotide RNase P RNA is filed under the name bovine gut metagenome. Its description in RNAcentral is "Bacterial RNase P class A". It matches the Rfam family "Bacterial RNase P class A". Rfam says of the family: Ribonuclease P (RNase P) is a ubiquitous endoribonuclease, found in archaea, bacteria and eukarya as well as chloroplasts and mitochondria. Its best characterised activity is the generation of mature 5'-ends of tRNAs by cleaving the 5'-leader elements of precursor-tRNAs. The record is from RNAcentral.